Molecule: long non-coding RNA, 218 nt
Organism: Olea europaea var. sylvestris
Lineage: Eukaryota; Viridiplantae; Streptophyta; Magnoliopsida; Lamiales; Oleaceae
Exons: 2
Source: RefSeq, a predicted model, not a curated record
GGUUGUAAGCUAAAAUAAAUAGAUAAAAAAUUUGAAUGGCCUAAAUUUGUAUUAAAGGCCGUGUCAUUUCCCUCUUCUUAUCUCUCAACAUAAGCAUUCAUCUCUCUCUCCCUCUAACAGUUCAACUGUUACUGCAUAAUGGACCCUUACAAGUACCGUCCAUCAAGUGCCUACAAUUCCCCAUUCUUCACUACAAAUUCUGGUGCUCCUGUUUAUAA